AACGAACGCUGGCGGCGCGUCUUAACCAUGCAGGUCGAGCGGCAGGCAGCAAUGCCGAGAGCGGCGGACUGGUGAGUAACACGUGGAUAACGUACCCCGAUGUCCGGGACAGCCUGUAGAAAUAGAGGGUAAUACCGGAUAGAUCACUGUUUACGUGAGGUAGACAGCGGGAAAGGAGCUUCGGCUCCGCGACGGGAUCGGUCUGCGGCCCAUCAGCUGGACGGCGGGGUAAAGGCCCGCCGUGGCGAGGACGGGUAUCCGGCCUGAGAGGGCGGACGGACACAUUGGGACUGAGAUACGGCCCAGACUCCUACGGGAGGCAGCAGGUAAGAAUAUUCCGCAAUGGGGGGAACCCUGACGGAGCGACGCCGCGUGAACGAAGAAGGCCGGAAGGUUGUAAAGUUCUUUUCUGUCCGAGGAAUAAGUUUCGGAGGAAAUGCCGGGACGGUGACGGUAGGGCAGGAAUAAGCACCGGCUAAUUACGUG
This 486-nucleotide ribosomal RNA is filed under the name uncultured bacterium. RNAcentral describes it as "partial 16S ribosomal RNA". It matches the Rfam family "Bacterial small subunit ribosomal RNA", at positions 29 to 507 of the family's 1533-position model. The record is from RNAcentral.